This 466-nucleotide ribosomal RNA is filed under the name uncultured bacterium. Its description in RNAcentral is "bacterial SSU rRNA". It matches the Rfam family "Bacterial small subunit ribosomal RNA", at positions 355 to 825 of the family's 1533-position model. The record is from RNAcentral.
UAGGGAAUAUUGGGCAAUGGAGGGAACUCUGACCCAGCCAUGCCGCGUGCAGGAUGAAGGCGUUAUGCGUUGUAAACUGCUUUUAUAUAGGAAGAAAUAGUCCUUGCGAGGAAAGUUGACGGUACUAUAUGAAUAAGCACCGGCUAACUCCGUGCCAGCAGCCGCGGUAAUACGGAGGGUGCAAGCGUUGUCCGGAUUUAUUGGGUUUAAAGGGUGCGUAGGCGGUUUAUUAAGUCAGUGGUGAAAGACGGUCGCUCAACGAUUGCAGUGCCAUUGAUACUGGUAGACUUGAGUAUGAUUGAGGUAGCUGGAAUGGAUAGUGUAGCGGUGAAAUGCAUAGAUAUUAUCCAGAACACCAAUUGCGUAGGCAAGUUACUAAGUCAUAACUGACGCUGAGGCACGAAAGUGUGGGUAUCAAACAGGAUUAGAUACCCGAGUAGUCCCUGAGCGGGCUGGCAAGGCGCAU